Long non-coding RNA from Zingiber officinale, 2443 nucleotides. RefSeq lists it as uncharacterized. The transcript is spliced from 2 exons. NCBI's taxonomy places the organism in Eukaryota, Viridiplantae, Streptophyta, Magnoliopsida, Zingiberales, Zingiberaceae. The record is from RefSeq and is a predicted model, not a curated record.
GCGGAUGCCCCAGCUGAAUCUACAGUUUUAUAAGAGCUAACUUGAAAAAACCACUUACAAUCCUAGAAAGGGUCAGGAGUCCGAUCCGGCUCCACUCAGCGUAAACUUCUUUUAUUUGUUCCGCUUUCUCGGCACUUGGGCCAGAGAGAUUGAAAGAAAGUGAGGGGCGUGGAGAGCGAAGACUGAAUAAAUGAUGGAGAGGAACGUAAGGGAAGGGGCGAAGUGCUGAACGUAAGGGAAGGGGCGAAGAGCUGAGCCAAAGGCGAACAGGUGAGGCAUUCAAAGUCAAAUAAUUUUUGAGAUUCUCGAGGAACUGGGCGAAAGAGGGAAGGAAUUUACGCAAAAGCAGCGUUGAACCGCUGACUCGGAACUAUUGAAACACUACCUUCCCUGGGGCUCUGAAAAAGAAGGAAAAAAUUAAUUCGAGGAAUUUUCCUCGGAUUCAUUGUCACCCUCUAUCCGUCUCUCUCAAGCCAUUUUCAAAGUCAGCUGAUCAGUCUUCUGUCAAGUAAGUUAGUCACUCGGAAUCCAUCGGCAAAUUCACAUUGCCGCAGAUGAGGAUCUUUCAGUCCGUGCUUUGUCCCUCGAGUCACGGACCGGGCAAGGCACGCAAUCUCAGACGUCAGAAUCUCUUCUUAUCUGAUAUUCGAAGCAAGGACAUGUUGAUCUGUCUUUAUCUACCAGAUAGCCUCAUCUUUCCCCCCUCCCCGGAUCCAUCAUCCUCGAAGAGGAGGAAAGAUGAGUCCAAAACUCUUAAUGAAGCCCAAAGGAAUUACACCACAACAGAAAAGGAGCUUUUAGCUAUUUGUCUUUGCCCUUUUUGAGUUUAGGUCUAACUUGUUAGGUACCAAAGUGAUUGUGUAUUCUGAUCAUGCAGCCAUUAAGUACCUACUUGCUAAGAAAGAGACCAAACCUAGACUUAUUAGGUGGAUGCUUUUAUUGCAAGAAUUCAACCUUGAGAUCAAAGACAAAAGUGGUGCACAAAACUUGGUGGCCGAUCAUCAACGUAGGCUCCAAGUGGAAAGUGAGUCCUCCCCCAUCAAUGACUCCUUUCCGGAUGAGCACUUGUUUGCUCUUUCCCACUUGGUGGGUGCACCCAUGAAGGAACAAAACAUGGCACCCGAAUGUGUUGAGGGUUUCUUUUUUGGUGCCAAAUCCUUCUAUGCUCCCUAGGUUAGUGGCUUUACUCCUUAGGACCCGAGAGCAUCACACUAGCUCCACCAAUUCUUGCAGAACCUCAUUCACUUUUAGCUUGCAAGGAAGUUGCAAGUUUGGUUCCCACUUUCCCUUGGUAUGUUGAUAUUGUCAAUUACUUAGUGAGUGGAAAGUUCCCUAGUGACCUAUGCCAUGCUAAGAAAAACUAAAUCAUUAAUGAUGCUAGGUACUACAUUUGGGGUGAACCAUACUUGUAUAAGCAUUGUAGUGACCAAGUGGUAAGAAGAUGCAUUCCGGAUCAUGAAAUUCAAUCUAUCCUAUCUUUUUGCCAUUCUUUAGAAUGUGGUGGUCACUUUGGACCAAAAAGGACAGCUAGGAAAGUCCUUGAAUGUGGCCAGAGAUGCAUUCUUGUUUUGCAAAGUAUGUGAUAGAUGUCAAAGAGUGGGCAAUCUUUCUCAAAGAAAUGAAAUGCCUCAAGUGUCCAUUCUUGUGUGUUCAGUCUUUGAUGUUUGGGGUAUUGAUUUCAUGGGCCCUUUUCCUUCAUCUUGCAACAAUGUUUACAUUAUCUUGGCUGUUGAUUAUCUUUCUAAAUGGGUGGAAGCUAAAGCCACCCGAAAUGAUGAUGCUAACACUGUUGUGAAUUUAUUGAAGGGUCUUUUUGCUAGGAAGGGUGUCCCCAAGGCAAUCAUUAGUGACAAAGGCACACACUUUUGCAACAAGGUCUUUGAUGCAUUAAUGAGGAAAUACCAUGUUCAUCAUAGAACCUCAACUCCAUACCAUCCACAAACUAGUGGACAAGCCGAGACCUCCAACAAAGAAAAGAAGUGAAGUCCAUCCUUGAAAAGGUGGUGAAUCCAAGAAGAAAUGGAGUCUCAAGUUGGAUGAUGCUCUUUGGGACUAUAGGACAGCCUACAAAACACCAAUAGGCAUGCCCCCAUAUAGGUAUGUUUAUGGGAAAGCUUGUCAUCUACCGGUGGAGUUGGAGCACAAGGUUUCUUUCAGAACCUUUGAAACAAACACUUUAUCCCACUUGCUUUCGGUAGGGGUUUUGUAUACAGAUUUUUCUGGGUGGAUGAUCGAGUUAGAUUCUUUAAUUCAUGGUUGUGCCACUACCCGGAAUGGACGAUGACCAGCGACUCUAUAUACGUCUCAACUCAUCGAGUGACCUGCUAACCUUCACAUAGUUUAAGAGGUGCCUACUCUUGAUGAUGGCGAGAGGAAAGAAGGAUCCUCCUGCUGGGAAUUAGAUCCUACUCUUUGUCUCUUCUUUUCUUUUUACAGAAAAUUC